GACGAACGCUGGCGGCGUGCUUAACACAUGCAAGUCGAACGGAAAGGCCCUGCUUUUGUGGGGUGCUCGAGUGGCGAACGGGUGAGUAACACGUGAGUAACCUGCCCUUGACUUUGGGAUAACUUCAGGAAACUGGGGCUAAUACCGGAUAGGAGCUCCUGCUGCAUGGUGUGGGUUGGAAAGUUUCGGCGGUUGUGGAUGGACUCGCGGCUUAUCAGCUUGUUGGUGGGGUAGUGGCUUACCAAGGCUUUGACGGGUAGCCGGCCUGAGAGGGUGACCGGCCACAUUGGGACUGAGAUACGGCCCAGACUCCUACGGGAGGCAGCAGUGGGGAAUAUUGCACAAUGGGCGGAAGCCUGAUGCAGCAACGCCGCGUGCGGGAUGACGGCCUUCGGGUUGUAAACCGCUUUCGCCUGUGACGAAGCGUGAGUGACGGUAAUGGGUAAAGAAGCACCGGCUAACUACGUG
RNAcentral lists this ribosomal RNA (468 nucleotides) under uncultured bacterium. Its description in RNAcentral is "partial 16S ribosomal RNA". It matches the Rfam family "Bacterial small subunit ribosomal RNA", at positions 28 to 507 of the family's 1533-position model. The record is from RNAcentral.